RNAcentral lists this unclassified non-coding RNA (233 nucleotides) under Hevea brasiliensis (rubber tree). Lineage: Eukaryota; Viridiplantae; Streptophyta; Magnoliopsida; Malpighiales; Euphorbiaceae. The record is from RNAcentral.
AAGUUUGACUUAAAUGAAGGUUUUAUUUCUGAUGAGGGGAAAUAUGGGGAGUCAAUCAACUCGACAGGCCCUGGAUGUUUGUCGAAUGUCCAAAUAAUGAGCCCAUCAACAUUUGCUGUCUCUUCUGUUUCCAGUAGCCUUCCUGCUUCCAUUACGGUGGCUGCUGCUGCCAAAGGACCUUUUGUCCCACCAGAAGAUCUAUUGAGAGUCAAAGGGGAGUUUGGAUGGAAAGG